UAAGACGAACCGUACGAACGUUAUUCGGAAUCACUGGGCUUAAAGGGUGCGUAGGCGGCGCGGAAAGUAGGGUGUGAAAUCCCUCGGCUCAACCGAGGAACUGCGCUCUAAACUACCGUGCUCGAGGGAGAUAGAGGUGAGCGGAACUUAGGGUGGAGCGGUGAAAUGCGUUGAUAUCCUAAGGAACACCGGUGGCGAAAGCGGCUCACUGGAUCUCUUCUGACGCUGAGGCACGAAAGCUAGGGUAGCGAACGGGAUUAGAUACCCCGGUAGUCCUAGCUGUAAACGAUGAGCACUGGGUCGGAGAACCCUCCACAGUUUUCCGGCCGUAGCGAAAGUGUUAAGUGCUCCGCCUGGGGAGUAUGGUCGCAAGGCUG
RNAcentral lists this ribosomal RNA (377 nucleotides) under uncultured bacterium. RNAcentral describes it as "bacterial SSU rRNA". It matches the Rfam family "Bacterial small subunit ribosomal RNA", at positions 521 to 896 of the family's 1533-position model. The record is from RNAcentral.